This 120-nucleotide ribosomal RNA is filed under the name uncultured bacterium. RNAcentral describes it as "partial 16S ribosomal RNA". It matches the Rfam family "Bacterial small subunit ribosomal RNA", at positions 796 to 916 of the family's 1533-position model. The record is from RNAcentral.
CACGCCGUAAACGAUGAAUGCCAGUCGUCGGCAAGCAUGCUUGUCGGUGACACACCUAACGGAUUAAGCAUUCCGCCUGGGGAGUACGGUCGCAAGAUUAAAACUCAAAGGAAUUGACGG